CUGUAUGCAUAUUGCCAAAACUUUUCUUCUUUUGCUUUAUUCUGACAAAAUUCAUGCAAGAGAUCAUGAAUUCGGCACGAUUUAACCCUGCCAUUAUAUCUCAUUUUUGCAUCCAUUACUAGGCUUCUGCUAAUAAGAUCGACCAAGUAUUCUUCUGCAAUAUCUUCUAAGCUCUUUGGUUUAUGUUUUCUAACCAAGCCCUCGGCAAUCCACUUCCAUGUUAACUUUGAGACUGGGUAACAGGCUUCUGCUAAUAAGAUCGACCAAAUAUUCUUCUGCCAUAUCUUCUAAGCUCUUUGUUUUAUGUUUUCUAACCAAGCCCUCGGCAAUCCACUUCCAUGUUAACUUUGAGACUGGAAUUUCU
Molecule: long non-coding RNA, 364 nt
Filed under: Nicotiana benthamiana
Lineage: Eukaryota; Viridiplantae; Streptophyta; Magnoliopsida; Solanales; Solanaceae
Description: long non-coding RNA (NBEN_LNC033493)
Source: RNAcentral